Molecule: ribosomal RNA, 405 nt
Filed under: uncultured bacterium
Lineage: Bacteria
Description: partial 16S ribosomal RNA
Rfam family: Bacterial small subunit ribosomal RNA
Source: RNAcentral
GAUGAACGCUGGCGGCGUGCCUAAUACAUGCAAGUCGAGCGAAGCGGGGACGGGUGAGUAACACGUGGAUAACCUCCUAUAAGACUGGGAUAACUUCGGGAAACCGGAGCUAAACCGGAUACUUAUACAUGGAUCUGCGCUGCAUUAGCUAGUUGGUAAGGUAACGGCUUACAAAGGCAACGAUGCAUAGCCGAACUGAGCGGGUGAUCAGCCACACUGGAACUGAGACACUGUCCAGACUCCUACGGGAGGCAGCAGUAGGGAAUCUGCCGCAAUGGGCGAAAGCCUGACGGAGCAACGCCGCGUGAGUGAUGAAGGUCUUCGGAUCGUAAAACUCUGUAAUUAUGGAAGCGGUACCUAAUCAGAAAGCCACGGCUAACUACGUGCCAGCAGCCGCGGUAAUAC